AGACGGGCUGCCCAGCUCUUUGUGAAUUGGAGCCCUGAACACCCCUCCUGUACCUCCUGGCCCCUUUCCUUGCUGACUGCCAGGCUGGGCUCUAUGCACAGCUCGGGAAGCUUCUGAAGGCUCCACGUGUAUUUCUGCAGCAGGAAAAUGGAUCAGCUGUCCAAGCUCGAGCCUGAGUCCACCCUCAAGGCCUGGAGGUAGCCUGUGAGUCAGGAGGGACUAGGGACCCAGGCAGCCUGACCCCAAGCCACGUCGAGCACAAGGCACCCGUGUGCACACAGCCACGUUCUAUACUCCGAAGGGUCCACCUGAUGCUUGGCUCUUCUACAUACAACUCCGUGAUCUUGAGUGAGGCCUGAAACCUCUCCCAUCCUCAGUUUUCUCAUCAGCAAAAUGGCCCAGGCAGUGGCCCCUGUUCUGCCUGGCGGGGCCUCUGCCAUAUAAGAAAAUUUCGUGCCUAAACUUCGACGGCGGAGAUCUCCGUUUUGAAGCGUCAGAUGGGGAGACAGGCUCAGAAAAGCACAGCGAGGUUCUGAGUCCGUGCGGCGACCAGAGGCAGUUCCGCGCCCUGAUCAACCACGUGAGGCUCUGGGGCCAGAGGGAGGCCACACUGUCC
This is a long non-coding RNA of Camelus dromedarius (Arabian camel), 616 nucleotides long. RefSeq lists it as uncharacterized. The record is from RefSeq and is a predicted model, not a curated record. The transcript has 3 exons. Lineage: Eukaryota; Metazoa; Chordata; Mammalia; Artiodactyla; Camelidae.